GAUGAACGCUGGCGGCGUGCCUAAUACAUGCAAGUCGAGCGAACAGACGAGGAGCUUGCUCCUCUGACGUUAGCGGCGGACGGGUGAGUAACACGUGGAUAACCUACCUAUAAGACUGGGAUAACUUCGGGAAACCGGAGCUAAUACCGGAUAAUAUAUUGAACCGCAUGGUUCAAUAGUUAAAGACGGUUUUGCUGUCACUUAUAGAUGUAUCCGCGCCGCAUUAGCUAGUUGGUAAGGUAACGGCUUACCAAGGCAACGAUGCGUAGCCGACCUGAGAGGGUGAUCGGCCACACUGGAACUGAGACACGGUCCAGACUCCUACGGGAGGCAGCAGUAGGGAAUCUUCCGCAAUGGGCGAAAGCUUGACGGAGCAACGCCGCGUGAGUGAUGAAGGUCUUCGGAUCGUAAAACUCUGUUAUUAGGGAAGAACAAAUGUGUAAGUAACUAUGCACGUCUUGACGGUACCUAAUCAGAAAGCCACGGCUAACUACGUG
RNAcentral lists this ribosomal RNA (497 nucleotides) under uncultured bacterium. RNAcentral's name for it is "partial 16S ribosomal RNA". It matches the Rfam family "Bacterial small subunit ribosomal RNA", at positions 28 to 507 of the family's 1533-position model. The record is from RNAcentral.